UGUAAGGUAUUAUAAUUAGUAUAAUUAGUUUACAGCUAAUAGGUGUGUAAUUGUCUUUACUU
RNAcentral lists this transfer RNA (62 nucleotides) under Girardia tigrina. Its description in RNAcentral is "tRNA-Val". RNAcentral also lists the same sequence under 1 other name. The record is from RNAcentral. Lineage: Eukaryota; Metazoa; Platyhelminthes; Tricladida; Dugesiidae.